RNAcentral lists this ribosomal RNA (491 nucleotides) under uncultured bacterium. Its description in RNAcentral is "bacterial SSU rRNA". It matches the Rfam family "Bacterial small subunit ribosomal RNA", at positions 28 to 537 of the family's 1533-position model. The record is from RNAcentral.
GAUGAACGUUGGCGGCGUGCCUAAUACAUGCAAGUCGAACGAAGACUGUAGUAAUACUGUCUUAGUGGCGAACGGGUGAGUAACGCGUGGGUGACCUGCCCCGAAGUGUGGGAUAACAGUCCGAAAGGAUUGCUAAUACUGCAUAAUAUCCAAGAGAUUAGAUGCUUUUAGGAUUAAAGGAGUAAUUCGCUUCGGGAGGGGCCCGCGUCCCAUCAGCUAGUUGGUAAGGUAAUGGCUUACCAAGGCGAUGACGGGUAGGGGACCUGAGAGGGUGGCCCCCCACAAUGGAACUGAAACACGGUCCAUACACCCUACGGGUGGCAGCAGUAGGGAAUAUUAGUAAUGGGCGAAAGCCUGAACUAGCAACGCCGCGUGUGCGAAGAAGGCCUUCGGGUUGUAAAGCACUUUUUGAGAGGAUGAGGAAGGACGGUACUACUCAGAAUAAGUCUCGGCUAACUACGUGCCAGCCAGCCGCGGUAAGCUCGUCUCUA